This 440-nucleotide ribosomal RNA is filed under the name uncultured bacterium. RNAcentral describes it as "partial 16S ribosomal RNA". It matches the Rfam family "Bacterial small subunit ribosomal RNA", at positions 338 to 795 of the family's 1533-position model. The record is from RNAcentral.
CCUACGGGUGGCAGCAGUGGGGAAUAUUGCACAAUGGGCGAAAGCCUGAUGCAGCCACGCCGCGUGAAGGAAGACGGUUUUCGGAUUGUAAUCUUCUGUUCUUAGUGAAGAAUCAUGACGGUCUCUAAGGGGCCAGCAACGGCUAACGAAGUGCGAGCAGCCGCGGUAAUACGGAGGAUGCGCGCUUUAGCCGGAUUUAUGGGGGUUAUAGGGUGCGCAGGCGGUGGAACAAGUCAGCGGUAAAAUCGCGGGGCUCAACCCCGCGCCGCCGUUGAAACUGUAUCCCUUGAGGGCGCGAAGGGUAGGAGGAAUGCGUGGUGUAGCGGUGAAAUGCAUAGAUAUCACGCAGAACUCCGAUCGCGAAGGCAGCCUACCGGCGCGCAACUGACGCUGAUGCACGAAGGCGUGGGUAUCGAACAGGAUUAGAUACCCUGGUAGUC